AAUUAACGCAUAUCGCAGAGAAAACGCUAAGAAGAGUGUGGUAUUGUUGAGAGAGUGUUGGUUCUCCAGUGUCACCCUUAAGUUCUCGAAGGAUGGACCGGCUUUGCUUUGGAAGGAUUCGGUGAAGCAGCUGGAUUUCACAUUCCUCGCCGGCUGACCAGUGAGCGUUUAGUGCGUGGCUGACGGUAGAGGAGGGAGGUGGAGGCGUGGAGACGGCGUGGCGGAGGCGUUGCUGUCGUCAUGGCGUGGUGUUCUUCCCGUCUUGUUGAUUAGGACACGAGCGGCAGUGGCGGCACUUUUCGGCUCCCCUUGAUCGUCGUCCCCUGCACCGCUACCUACCCGCCGGCCAGACUACACGCCUGCGCACCCUGAGUAGCACGCGUCACCAGCACAGCUACAGUGUACACAACGCUGGACUGAAGAGAAGAGAGGCGUUGGCGACACUUUUCGGCUCCACUACUCACCUGCCACUGACGCCGCUGACACAGCUGAGCAGCACGCGUCACCAACACCGCUGUGAAGGAAUACUACUACUACACAGGCGCUGUGAAGGAAUACUAUAUACUACAGGACUGAAGAGAAGUGUAGCAAGCAGGAGAGGCGUUGGCGACACUUUUCGGCUCCACUUCUCACCUGCCGCCGACACAGCUGAGCAGCACGCGUCAUAAACAGCGCA
This 676-nucleotide long non-coding RNA is filed under the name Portunus trituberculatus (swimming crab). RNAcentral's name for it is "uncharacterized LOC123510620, transcript variant X1". Lineage: Eukaryota; Metazoa; Arthropoda; Malacostraca; Decapoda; Portunidae. The record is from RNAcentral.